UUCCAGACUGAGAGAUGGUGCUGCUGAUGCUGGAAGUGGUGGUUUCACAGAUCUGCUCCCCCAGGAGAGUAUCUUCAGGUAACAGCGUCUCUGCCCACAGUCGACAGAUGCCAUCCAGGCAGGACCUGUUGCAAAAUAUUCACCAUCAGGAGACCAUGACAUCAAAUGUACUGAUGUUGCAGUCCUACAGAACACAAAGGCAAGUUAAGUAAGAAUGUCAUCAGAUGGAGGGGCCCACAAUUGCAAAAAGUCUGUUGCUGUCAAUAACCUGUUACCUGAAAGGGAGUGAUACCAAAGCUGUGGAACCACGAUGAUGAAGUACUGCCCCUCUGACAACCUCUUCAAAUAAGAAAUACCAGCUUGUCACCGUGUCAUUCUAGUAUGAGACUCAAGAACAAGAUGUUGGGAACUCAGGAGAAGAGUAGUCCACAGUUCAAUCCAUUCAGUGGAAGAGUCUACCCACCCAGUUUCAUUAUGAAUGGUGGAAACUGUCCAUUAUUCUGUUAUGUGCUGACACAA
Hirundo rustica (Barn swallow) is the source of this 519-nucleotide long non-coding RNA. RefSeq lists it as uncharacterized. NCBI's taxonomy places the organism in Eukaryota, Metazoa, Chordata, Aves, Passeriformes, Hirundinidae. The transcript is spliced from 4 exons. The record is from RefSeq and is a predicted model, not a curated record.